RNAcentral lists this long non-coding RNA (2944 nucleotides) under Homo sapiens (human). The record is from RNAcentral. Lineage: Eukaryota; Metazoa; Chordata; Mammalia; Primates; Hominidae.
GGCCAAAGUGCAAUGGAGUGAUCUCAGCUCGCUGCAACCUCUGCCUCCUGAAUUCAAGUGAUUCACCUGUCUCAGCUUCCCAAGUGGCUGGGAUUACAGAGACCGGGUCUCACCAUAUUGCUCUGGCUGGUUUCAAACUCCUGGGCUCAAGCGAUCCUCCUGCCUCAGCCUUCCAAAACCAGGUGUUUAACUUGGGACUAACAUGAAGCACUUAGAAGACUACGUGGAACAUAGUGAGCUACAUAAAAUAUUUGCUAUUAGCAUAAUAAUUUUAUUGCAUAUCUUAACAAAAUUGUGUAAGUUAGGCAGGUGGCAUGCCAAUGGAAGUAUUCUCCUAUAGCUGCACUGAAUCAUUCUUACCACUGAGAGUUGCAGCAAAUGGGGGACAUAAUUUAUAACUUACUUUUCUCUCUGUAUGACUCAUUAGGCAAUGACUAUAUAUGUACUACAACGUAAACAGCACCUCCUGGAUUGAAUAGAACAUAACUGACAUGACCAGCAGAGACAGGCUAAAGACACUGAGCUGAAAACCCUGGACUCUAUUGCUAAAUUGAGGCUCCUGAAUCCGUUCGCUCUGAGCAACUGUUGCUGUGGUGCUGCCUUCACAAGCACUCUGCUGAGCACUCAGAUAGAGGGGCUGUGCUAUCCAUCAACAGACAAGCUGCAGCCAGAACUGCUCAGCUGACAAACUGGUAGAGGUCCAGAAACACAGUUCUGCUGCAUAGUGAAAAAAGGCCAAUUUAGAUUCUUUUUCAUAGAGAGAAAAACAUAAACAUGUGAUUGAACGAGUCUCCUGUAUUAGACUAAUUGGGUUGGCUUUGAUAUUUAAUUGCUAAAAAUACACUUAGAAUAUAAACCUUACUGUGUCAAGGUCUCAAAGAAGAAAUAAUUGGUAUGGUAUAAAGAAGUAUUGAAUUCUAUGCUACAAACUUCUAAGCUAAAAUAUUUUCAAUGUAUGCAAGGAUAGGUGACAUACAUAUUAUAUACUAUUCCCCCAUUAAGCAAAUUUAUAAUGAGAGAAAAUUAUCUUCCAUAAAAAAAUAAAAGCCAUGUAAAAUUAAGGACUAAGUUUUUCUGCACAGACUAGACAACGAUUGCUAACACAUAAGGUCAACGAGAGAACAGUCAGAGAAAGCUUCAUGAAAACAAUAAAUUGUCUGCCACGUCUGAGUGAAUGAGGCUAGAUGAACAGAAACUGAGAAGGCAGAAAGGAUAGCAUGAGCAAGACAAGUGCUGAAAUCUGCCCAAUUAACUCUGAGGAUAAAGUCCAAUGGCAGGGAAAUAAAAACCCGUGUCCACAUAAUAACCUGUAAGUGAAUGUUCGCAGCAGCAUUGUUCAUAAUAGCUAAAAAGUGGAAACUAACUUAAAGGUCCAUCAACUGAUGAAUGAAUGGAAAACCAGUAUAGCCAUGGAAUAGUACAUCAUUUAACUAUAAGAAGAAAUAAACUACUCAUGUGUGCUAAAACAUGCAUGAAUUCUGAAAGCAUUAUGCUAAGUGAAAAAGCCAGUCACAAAGGACUACAUAUUGUAUAACGCUAUGUAUACGAAAUAUACAGAACAGGUAAAUAUAUGGAGACAAAAGUAGAUAGAUGGUGGUUGCCUACAACAGGGGUAGGUGGAGGGACAUGGAGGAAGGCUGCAGUCAUGCCUAGGAGAUGUGGGGUUGCUUUUCAGGGUGAUGAAAAUGCUGUGAAUAUACUAAUAGAUACUCAGUUGUACAUUUUAAAUGGUUGAACUCUCUCAAAUGUGAAUGAUAUCUCAGUGAAACUGUUUUUAAAAUCCAAAGGCAGGAUCAAGAUAAUUUUCUCAACUCUCAAUUUUUGACUUACAUGCUAUAUCAAAUCUAAAUAUUUUUAGAGUUUUAUAGUAUAUUUUAAAUUAAAGAUAAAGAAAAUGCCUAAAUUUUCAAAUAGUUUGUAAAUUAACCUAAAACAUGCACAUUUCAAAGAAUAGUAUAAUGGCCUUUCUGUACAAGUUAACCUGCAGUCUGUGAAAUAAAUAGACACAGAUUCUGUGUCCAUUCACGAAAGUGAAGAAAUAAGACAACUUUCUGGAACUUUCCAUGAAAUAUUCUCCUCUGAUUUAAUCUGGCCUGCCUCAUCAGAACAAUACAAAAAUUACUUAAAAAUACUGUUUUUACAGGAAAAAAGUCAGUUUUCUAUGAGGAAUGAUAUAUAAUUCUCCACUUUUCCAAGGGUACAUAUUGUAACAGAAAAGGUAUGUAAUGGUUUUUCAAAAUGGUAGAAUGAAAGUCACAAUAUAAAAAAAUAAGUACAUUAUAAAGAUAGUAAAAUGUAAAUAAUUCAUUGUAAUGAAACUAAAAAAUCAAGCUUCUGCCAAAAUUAGUAUCCUAAAACACGUUAUAUAAACUCAACUAGCUACAGAAUAAGAGUUGACAUGUUAAAUUCCAUACACACUUGACUUUUCACUUGAAAUAAUUUCUUCUUUGGGGCCUGUGUCUCAUCCAAAUUAAUGUGAUAAUGUGACAUACCUUCCAGUGGAGACUCUAACGUAGUUAAUUUUUUUAGGCUGUCAGCCGCUUCUUGUUGAAGUUGUCUCACAACCACCUGAGAAAAUAUUUUUGUUACUGAUUUUAUAAAUUGCCUUAUUAUUAAAUUAUGUUAAUAAUAUUUAACUCCCUGCCAAAUUGGUAUUCUCUUACUUACACAACAGGUUCAUCCCACCAUUCAAUCAUCUUAGAAGCUCAACUCAACCUCAAAGUGACUAACAUAUUCAAUCACCUUUUCAAAUCCUUCCAACAGAUUCCUAUCUCAGGAUAAAAGUGAAAUUCCAAUGGCCUUUGAGGCCCUAGGUAAACAGUCCUCUACCUCCCUCUCUGACUUCAAAGCUCCUACAACUCCUUCCUGUAAUUACUCCAUUCCCACUGUACGUGAAGCCUGCCACCCCUCAGUCUGAAAAUGGGGAUCUAAUGCCUUACUCAUA